RNAcentral lists this transfer RNA (63 nucleotides) under Bromius obscurus. Its description in RNAcentral is "tRNA-Cys". Lineage: Eukaryota; Metazoa; Arthropoda; Insecta; Coleoptera; Chrysomelidae. The record is from RNAcentral.
AGCUUUAUAUUCAAUUAUGAUAUUAAAUUGCAAGUUUAAUGGUUCUCAAAGUGGAUAAGGCUU